GAUAACGGCGUCGAGCGGCGGACGGGUGAGUAAUGCCUAGGAAAUUGCCCUGAUGUGGGGGAUAACCAUUGGAAACGAUGGCUAAUACCGCAUGAUGCCUACGGGCCAAAGAGGGGGACCUUCGGGCCUCUCGCGUCAGGAUAUGCCUAGGUGGGAUUAGCUAGUUGGUGAGGUAAGGGCUCACCAAGGCGACGAUCCCUAGCUGGUCUGAGAGGAUGAUCAGCCACACUGGAACUGAGACACGGUCCAGACUCCUACGGGAGGCAGCAGUGGGGAAUAUUGCACAAUGGGCGCAAGCCUGAUGCAGCCAUGCCGCGUGUGUGAAGAAGGCCUUCGGGUUGUAAAGCACUUUCAGUCGUGAGGAAGGUAGUGUAGUUAAUAGCUGCAUUAUUUGACGUUAGCGACAGAAGAAGCACCGGCUAACUCCGUGCCAGCAGCCGCGGUAAUACGGAGGGUGCGAGCGUUAAUCGGAAUUACUGGGCGUAAAGCGCAUGCAGGUGGUUUGUUAAGUCAGAUGUGAAAGCCCGGGGCUCAACCUCGGAAUUGCAUUUGAAACUGGCAGACUAGAGUACUGUAGAGGGGGGUAGAAUUUCAGGUGUAGCGGUGAAAUGCGUAGAGAUCUGAAGGAAUACCGGUGGCGAAGGCGGCCCCCUGGACAGAUACUGACACUCAGAUGCGAAAGCGUGGGGAGCAAACAGGAUUAGAUACCCUGGUAGUCCACGCCGUAAACGAUGUCUACUUGGAGGUUGUGGCCUUGAGCCGUGGCUUUCGGAGCUAACGCGUUAAGUAGACCGCCUGGGGAGUACGGUCGCAAGAUUAAAACUCAAAUGAAUUGACGGGGGCCCGCACAAGCGGUGGAGCAUGUGGUUUAAUUCGAUGCAACGCGAAGAACCUUACCUACUCUUGACAUCCAGAGAACUUUCCAGAGAUGGAUUGGUGCCUUCGGGAACUCUGAGACAGGUGCUGCAUGGCUGUCGUCAGCUCGUGUUGUGAAAUGUUGGGUUAAGUCCCGCAACGAGCGCAACCCUUAUCCUUGUUUGCCAGCGAGUAAUGUCGGGAACUCCAGGGAGACUGCCGGUGAUAAACCGGAGGAAGGUGGGGACGACGUCAAGUCAUCAUGGCCCUUACGAGUAGGGCUACACACGUGCUACAAUGGCGCAUACAGAGGGCGGCCAACUUGCGAAAGUGAGCGAAUCCCAAAAAGUGCGUCGUAGUCCGGAUUGGAGUCUGCAACUCGACUCCAUGAAGUCGGAAUCGCUAGUAAUCGUGGAUCAGAAUGCCACGGUGAAUACGUUCCCGGGCCUUGUACACACCGCCCGUCACACCAUGGGAG
This 1333-nucleotide ribosomal RNA is filed under the name Vibrio parahaemolyticus. Its description in RNAcentral is "bacterial SSU rRNA". It matches the Rfam family "Bacterial small subunit ribosomal RNA", at positions 78 to 1410 of the family's 1533-position model. The record is from RNAcentral. Lineage: Bacteria; Pseudomonadati; Pseudomonadota; Gammaproteobacteria; Vibrionales; Vibrionaceae.